RNAcentral lists this ribosomal RNA (308 nucleotides) under Enterobacter asburiae. RNAcentral's name for it is "partial 23S ribosomal RNA". It matches the Rfam family "Bacterial large subunit ribosomal RNA", at positions 1241 to 1551 of the family's 2925-position model. The record is from RNAcentral. Lineage: Bacteria; Pseudomonadati; Pseudomonadota; Gammaproteobacteria; Enterobacterales; Enterobacteriaceae.
CUGUAAGCCGUUGAAGGUGUGCUGUGAGGCAUGCUGGAGGUAUCAGAAGUGCGAAUGCUGACAUAAGUAACGAUAAAGCGGGUGAAAAGCCCGCUCGCCGGAAGACCAAGGGUUCCUGUCCAACGUUAAUCGGGGCAGGGUGAGUCGACCCCUAAGGCGAGGCCGAAAGGCGUAGUCGAUGGGAAACAGGUUAAUAUUCCUGUACUUGGUGUUACUGCGAAGGGGGGACGGAGAAGGCUAUGUUAGCCGGGCGACGGUUGUCCCGGUUUAAGCAUGUAGGCGGAACGAUUAGGUAAAUCCGGUCGUUU